GACGAACGCUGGCGGCGUGCUUAACACAUGCAAGUCGAACGGAAAGGCCCUGCUUUUGUGGGGUGCUCGAGUGGCGAACGGGUGAGUAACACGUGAGUAACCUGCCCUUGACUUUGGGAUAACUUCAGGCAACUGGGGCUAAUACCGGAUAGGAGCUCCUGCUGCAUGGUGGGGGUUGGAAAGUUUCGGCGGUUGGGGAUGGACUCGCGGCUUAUCAGCUUGUUGGUGGGGUAGUGGCUUACCAAGGCUUUGACGGGUAGCCGGCCUGGGCGGGUGACCGGCCACAUUGGGACUGGGAUACGGCCCAGACUCCUACGGGAGGCAGCAGUGGGGAAUAUUGCACAAUGGGCGGAAGCCUGAUGCAGCAACGCCGCGUGCGGGAUGACGGCCUUCGGGUUGUAAACCGCUUUCGCCUGUGACGAAGCGUGAGUGACGGUAAUGGGUAAAGAAGCACCGGCUAACUACGUG
RNAcentral lists this ribosomal RNA (468 nucleotides) under uncultured bacterium. Its description in RNAcentral is "partial 16S ribosomal RNA". It matches the Rfam family "Bacterial small subunit ribosomal RNA", at positions 28 to 507 of the family's 1533-position model. The record is from RNAcentral.